UCAGGCCUAACACAUGCAAGUCGAGCGAGGACUUCGGUCCUAGCGGCGGACGGGUGAGUAACGCGUGGGAACGUGCCCUUUGCUUCGGAAUAGCCCUGGGAAACUGGGAGUAAUACCGGAUGAGCCCUACGGGGGAAAGAUUUAUCGGCGAAGGAUCGGCCCGCGUUGGAUUAGGUAGUUGGUGGGGUAAUGGCCUACCAAGCCGACGAUCCAUAGCUGGUUUGAGAGGAUGAUCAGCCACACUGGGACUGAGACACGGCCCAGACUCCUACGGGAGGCAGCAGUGGGGAAUCUUAGACGAUGGGGGAAACCCUGAUCUAGCCAUGCCGC
RNAcentral lists this ribosomal RNA (330 nucleotides) under uncultured bacterium. RNAcentral describes it as "bacterial SSU rRNA". It matches the Rfam family "Bacterial small subunit ribosomal RNA", at positions 42 to 400 of the family's 1533-position model. The record is from RNAcentral.